UGGGGAAUAUUGCACAAUGGAGGGAACUCUGAUGCAGCGACGCCGCGUGAACGAAGAAGGCUUUCGAGUCGUAAAGUUCUUUUAUAUGGGAAGAUAAUGACGGUACCAUAAGAAAAAGCCCCGGCUAACUACGUGCCAGCAGCCGCGGUAAUACGUAGGGGGCUAGCGUUGUCCGGAAUCACUGGGCGUAAAGGGUUCGCAGGCGGAAAUGCAAGUCAGGUGUAAAAGGCAGUAGCUUAACUACUGUAAGCAUUUGAAACUGCAUAUCUUGAGAAGAGUAGAGGUAAGUGGAAUUAUUAGUGUAGCGGUGAAAUGCGUAGAUAUUAAAAAGAAUACCGGUGGCGAAGGCGACUUACUGGGCUCAUUCUGACGCUGAGGAACGAAAGCGUGGGUAGCAAACAGG
RNAcentral lists this ribosomal RNA (403 nucleotides) under Fusobacteriota bacterium. Its description in RNAcentral is "Fusobacteria bacterium partial 16S ribosomal RNA". It matches the Rfam family "Bacterial small subunit ribosomal RNA", at positions 355 to 776 of the family's 1533-position model. The record is from RNAcentral. Lineage: Bacteria; Fusobacteriati; Fusobacteriota.